RNAcentral lists this ribosomal RNA (509 nucleotides) under uncultured bacterium. RNAcentral describes it as "partial 16S ribosomal RNA". It matches the Rfam family "Bacterial small subunit ribosomal RNA", at positions 28 to 506 of the family's 1533-position model. The record is from RNAcentral.
GACGAACGCUGGCGGCGCGCUUAACACAUGCAAGUCGAACGAAGAGCGAUGGAAGCUUGCUUCUAUCAAUCUUAGUGGCGAACGGGUGAGUAACGCGUAAUCAACCUGCCCUUCAGAGGGGGACAACAGUUGGAAACGACUGCUAAUACCGCAUACGAUCUAAUCUCGGCAUCGAGGAUAGAUGAAAGGUGGCCUCUACAUGUAAGCUAUCACUGAAGGAGGGGAUUGCGUCUGAUGAGCUAGCUGGAGGGGUAACGGCCCACCAAGGCGAUGGUCAGUAGCCGGUCUGAGAGGAUGAACGGCCACAUUGGGACUGAGACACGGCCCAGACUCCUACGGGAGGCAGCAGUGGGGAAUCUUCCGCAAUGGACGAAAGUCUGACGGAGCAACGCCGCGUGAGUGAUGACGGCCUUCGGGUUGUAAAGCUCUGUUAAUCGGGACGAAAGGCCUUCUUGCGAAUAGUGAGAAGGAUUGACGGUACCGGAAUAGAAAGCCACGGCUAACUACGU